Molecule: ribosomal RNA, 1131 nt
Filed under: uncultured fungus
Lineage: Eukaryota; Fungi
Description: eukaryotic LSU rRNA
Rfam family: Eukaryotic large subunit ribosomal RNA (bases 518-1131)
Source: RNAcentral
AAGUCGUAACAAGGUUUCCGUAGGUGAACCUGCGGAAGGAUCAUUACCUUUUGCUUAUGGCACUCCCUAGGCAUGGCCUAUGGGUUUGUUAAGGCAAUAAACCCUUGUCUACAAUACCUUGUCUAUCCUUUGGCAGCAUAAGGCUGCCAUGGGACCUACACAACCCUCUUUAUAGUAGCCUAUCUGAACAUGAUAAUAAUUAUAACUUUCAACAAUGGAUCUCUUGGCUCUGGCAUCGAUGAAGAACGCAGCGAAAUGCGAUAAGUAGUGUGAAUUGCAGACUUUAGUGAAUCAUUGAAUCUUUGAACGCACAUUGCGCCUUUUGGAAUUCCACUAGGCAUGCCUGUUCGAGCGUCAUAUACUCCUUCAAGCACUAGCUUGGUGUUGGGUGUUUGUUCUGCAUAAUGUAAGGAACUCGCCUUGAAGGCUUUUGGCAGUUAGCCUGUCAGCUUUUUACGCAGCACUUGCGUCUUCUAGGCUAGGCAGGCUAACAACCCAGCAAGCAACCCCUUUAGUUUGACCUCGAAUCAGGUAGGGUUACCCGCUGAACUUAAGCAUAUCAAUAAGCGGAGGAAAAGAAACCAACAGGGAUUGCCCUAGUAACGGCGAGUGAAGCGGCAAAAGCUCAAAUUUGAAAUCUGGCUUUAUAAGAAGCCCGAGUUGUACUUUGUAGAGGGUGCUUUAGUAUUGGCAGCGGUCUAAGUUCCUUGGAAGAGGACGUCAUAGAGGGUGAGAAUCCCGUAUGGGAUCGCCUGCCUUUGCUGUGUAAAGCCCCUUCGACGAGUCGAGUUGUUUGGGAAUGCAGCUCUAAAUGGGAGGUAAAUUUCUUCUAAAGCUAAAUACUAGCCAGAGACCGAUAGCGCACAAGUAGAGUGAUCGAAAGAUGAAAAGCACUUUGGAAAGAGAGUUAAAUAGCACGUGAAAUUGUUGAAAGGGAAGCGCUUGUAGCCAGACUUGCCCAUGGUUGUUUUCUUCUAUGGGCAGGCCAGCAUCAGUUUGGGUGGUUGGAAAAGAGCCUCUGUCAUGUAUCAUCCCUCAACCAGAUGACCUUAUAGGGGAGGCAUAGUACAACCAGCCCAGACUGAGGUCCGCGCAUCUGCUAGGAUGCUGGCGUAAUGGCUGUCAGCGGCC